ACUUCGAUGGUCGCAGAGUGAGAUUGCCGGCUGAGUUCUGCCUUUCCACUCUCCUCGCUGGUCACUGCCUGUCUCUCCCUUCGAUUUCCAUGGCCUGAGUUCUUUGGUGCAUCAUCCUGGCUUGUUCGAUCUACGGUGUUGUUGGAUGACCUGUGUUUGAUUUUCUUCAACUUGCUUAACCACCGUUGGAGAAAUCCCCUGCAGCUAGAGGGCUUGCGGUGCCGCCGGCUUGAGUUUGUCAGAUCCUCCUUUCCCGGUGGAUAACCCGAAUAGCCUAGGAUUUUCUUGUUUUGGGUCUUAUGGGCCUAGUUUACCAAAGAUCAACUAGGUCC
Molecule: unclassified non-coding RNA, 332 nt
Filed under: Hevea brasiliensis (rubber tree)
Lineage: Eukaryota; Viridiplantae; Streptophyta; Magnoliopsida; Malpighiales; Euphorbiaceae
Source: RNAcentral